AGAACGAACGCUGGCGGCAUGCCUAACACAUGCAAGUCGAACGAGACCUUCGGGUCUAGUGGCGCACGGGUGCGUAACGCGUGGGAAUCUGCCCUUCGGUUCGGAAUAACAGUUAGAAAUGACUGCUAAUACCGGAUAAUGACGUAAGUCCAAAGAUUUAUCGCCGAAGGAUGAGCCCGCGCAAGAUUAGCUUGUUGGUGAGGUAAAGGCUCACCAAGGCUACGAUCUUUAGCUGGUCUGAGAGGAUGAUCAGCCACACUGGGACUGAGACACGGCCCAGACUCCUACGGGAGGCAGCAGUGGGGAAUAUUGGACAAUGGGCGAAAGCCUGAUCCAGCAAUGCCGCGUGAGUGAUGAAGGCCUUAGGGUUGUAAAGCUCUUUUACCCGGGAUGAUAAUGACAGUACCGGAGAAUAAGCUCCGGCUAACUCCGUGCCAGCAGCCGC
This 445-nucleotide ribosomal RNA is filed under the name uncultured soil bacterium. RNAcentral's name for it is "bacterial SSU rRNA". It matches the Rfam family "Bacterial small subunit ribosomal RNA", at positions 26 to 518 of the family's 1533-position model. The record is from RNAcentral.